RNAcentral lists this ribosomal RNA (441 nucleotides) under uncultured bacterium. RNAcentral describes it as "partial 16S ribosomal RNA". It matches the Rfam family "Bacterial small subunit ribosomal RNA", at positions 338 to 795 of the family's 1533-position model. The record is from RNAcentral.
CCUACGGGCGGCAGCAGUGGGGAAUAUUGGGCAAUGGGCGCAAGCCUGACCCAGCAACGCCGCGUGAAGGAUGAAGGUUUUCGGAUUGUAAACCUCUGUCGCGAGGGACGAAAGAUGACGGUACUUCGCAAGAAAGCCUCGGCUAACUCCGUGCCAGCAGCCGCGGUAAUACGUAGGGGGCAAGCUUUGGCCGGACUGACUGGGCGUAAAGGGAGUGUAGGCGGGUCAGCAAGUUAGUUGUGAAAUCCCAGGGCUUAACCGGGGAACUGCAUGUCAAACUGGUAAGCUGGAGUGCAGGAGAGGUUAGUGGAAUUCGUGGUGUAGCGGUGGAAUGCGUAGAUAUUAGGAGGAACACCAGAGGCGAAGGCGACUAACUGGCAUGUAACUGACGCUGAGGCUCGAAAGCGUGGGGAGCAAACAGGAUUAGAUACCCUGGUAGUC